CAACAGGGAUUGCCCUAGUAACGGCGAGUGAAGCGGCAACAGCUCAAAUUUGAAAUCUGGCUUCGGCCCCGAGUUGUAAUUUGCAGAGGAAGCUUUAGGCGCGGCACCUCCUGAGUCCCCUGGAACGGGGCGCCACAGAGGGUGAGAGCCCCGUAUAGUUGGAUGCCUAGCCUGUGUAAAGCUCCUUCGACGAGUCGAGUAGUUUGGGAAUGCUGCUCAAAAUGGGAGGUAAAUUUCUUCUAAAGCUAAAUACCGGCCAGAGACCGAUAGCGCACAAGUAGAGUGAUCGAAAGAUGAAAAGCACUUUGAAAAGAGGGUUAAAUAGCACGUGAAAUUGUUGAAAGGGAAGCGCUUGUGACCAGACUUGCGCCGGGCUGAUCAUCCGGUGUUCUCACCGGUGCACUCUGCCCGGCUCAGGCCAGCAUCGGUUCUCGCGGGGGGAUAAAGGCCCUGGGAACGUAGCUCCUCCGGGAGUGUUAUAGCCCGGGGCGCAAUGCCCUCGCGGGGACCGAGGUUCGCGCUCUGCAAGGAUGCUGGCGUAAUGGUCAUCAGCGACCCGUCUUGAAACACGGACCAAGGAGUCAAGGUUUUGCGCGAGUGUUUGGGUGUAAAACCCGCACGCGUAAUGAAAGUGAACGUAGGUGAGAGCUUCGGCGCAUCAUCGACCGAUCCUGAUGUUCUCGGAUGGAUUUGAGUAGGAGCGUUAAGCCUUGGACCCGAAAGAUGGUGAACUAUGCUUGGAUAGGGUGAAGCCAGAGGAAACUCUGGUGGAGGCUCGCAGCGGUUCUGACGUGCAAAUCGAUCGUCAAAUCUGAGCAUGGGGGCGAAAGACUAAUCGAACCAUCUAGUAGCUGGUA
RNAcentral lists this ribosomal RNA (857 nucleotides) under Acrophialophora minuta. RNAcentral describes it as "partial large subunit ribosomal RNA". It matches the Rfam family "Eukaryotic large subunit ribosomal RNA", at positions 66 to 956 of the family's 3401-position model. Lineage: Eukaryota; Fungi; Ascomycota; Sordariomycetes; Sordariales; Chaetomiaceae. The record is from RNAcentral.